Molecule: RNase P RNA, 380 nt
Filed under: Bryobacteraceae bacterium
Lineage: Bacteria; Pseudomonadati; Acidobacteriota; Terriglobia; Bryobacterales; Bryobacteraceae
Description: Bacterial RNase P class A
Rfam family: Bacterial RNase P class A
About the family: Ribonuclease P (RNase P) is a ubiquitous endoribonuclease, found in archaea, bacteria and eukarya as well as chloroplasts and mitochondria. Its best characterised activity is the generation of mature 5'-ends of tRNAs by cleaving the 5'-leader elements of precursor-tRNAs.
Source: Rfam by way of RNAcentral
GUCGCUGAACGGGCGAUCGCUCGUGAAAGCGAGAGGAAAGUCCGGUCUCCACAGGGCAACAUGCCGGCUAACGGCCGGGAGGGGUUGGCCAUAUCCGACCUUUACGGAAAGUGCCACAGAAAACGUACCGCCUGUAACGCUGGGGAGACUCAGCGUGAAAGGUAAGGGUGAAAAGGUGCGGUAAGAGCGCACCGCGGCGGGAGUGAUUCCGCUGGCAGGGUAAACCCCAUGCGGAGCAAGACCAAAUAGGGGAGCAGGGGCGGCCCGUUCCAAUAACUCCCGGGUAGGUCGCUAGAGCUUUUUAGUAAUGGAAAGCCCAGACGAAUGGUCGCCACCAGUUCCAACUGGCACAGAAACCGGCUUACAGUUCAGCGAUAUAU